CUGCUGGUCUGCACGAAAGAAAGAAUACAUUUGGCCAGAGCCAUAGAGAGAAAUUUCUCUAUGGCUCUGCAUUUGGCUAACCAGAGAACUCUCGGCUAAUGUUUAGAACUGAUACAUUUGGCUAACGAAAGUAUCAGCUAGCGUGAAGAACCGAUCAAUGGCAGCGUUUCAUCCUCCACAGAAGUUUCUUGUUGCUAGACGACAUGCUGAAUACAAGUAUGGAUUUUGUGACACACAUUUGUGUUUCACCUACAGACUGGGAUGGCGUAGGCUCAGAUUGGAGCUGGUGACUUUAACCCACAGUCUUCAGAACCACCAGAGUCACCAAGCAUAGCUGCUCCUAAUGACAUUUCCCAUUAUAGAGCAGCUGGUUCUGUGCAACCAAAGGUAUUCCGCAAGAUACAGCAUGGAAAUAGGAAGAGGCCACUAAAUGACUUCUAAUACAAAGACUUCAAAUGGUUGGAGUAUUCCAUAUUUAGUGUUUUGC
Molecule: long non-coding RNA, 487 nt
Organism: Alosa alosa (allis shad)
Lineage: Eukaryota; Metazoa; Chordata; Actinopteri; Clupeiformes; Clupeidae
Exons: 3
Source: RefSeq, a predicted model, not a curated record